RNAcentral lists this unclassified non-coding RNA (342 nucleotides) under soil metagenome. Its description in RNAcentral is "partial contains 5.8S ribosomal RNA, internal transcribed spacer 2, and large subunit ribosomal RNA". The stretch from base 1 to 120 matches the Rfam family "5.8S ribosomal RNA", at positions 35 to 154 of the family's 154-position model. The record is from RNAcentral.
GAUGAAGAACGCAGCGAAAUGUGAUAAGUAAUGUGAAUUGCAGAAUUCAGUGAAUCAUCGAAUCUUUGAACGCACAUUGCGCCCGCCAGCACUCUGGCGGGCAUGCCUGUUCGAGCGUCAUUUCAACCAUCAAGCCCCCAGGGGCUUGUGCUGGGGCCCUGCGGCUGCCCGCAGGCCCUGAAAACCAGUGGCGGGCUCGCUAGUCACACCGAGCGCAGUAGCACAUCUCGCUCAGGGCGUGCGGCGGGCUCCUGCCGUGAAACCCCCCACUGUAACCCCAAAGGUUGACCUCGGAUCAGGAAGGAAUACCCGCUGAACUUAAGCAUAUCAAUAAGCGGAGGA